Trifolium pratense (red clover) is the source of this 656-nucleotide long non-coding RNA. RefSeq lists it as uncharacterized. The record is from RefSeq and is a predicted model, not a curated record. The transcript is spliced from 2 exons. Lineage: Eukaryota; Viridiplantae; Streptophyta; Magnoliopsida; Fabales; Fabaceae.
UGUAUUUUGUUUUGUAGGGUUUGCUCAUACUUGAGGCAUGUUUAGAAAUUUAGUUUUAUUUGUGGCAAUGUUCAUGGUUCUACAUAUGAGCAGUCAUUAGCUAAUAUAGAUGCUCAUAUGUGUGUUUAAUUAAUUAUUGUGGACUAUACUAUAGGUGAUCAACCAUGGAGUUUCAAAGGAGUUGAUGGAUGAUACGAUGGAUAUUUUCAAGGAAUUUCAUGCAAUGUCUGAAGUAGAAAAGAUAAGUGAAAGUUCAAAGGAUCCAAAUGGUAGUUAUAAGCUAUAUACAAGUCGUGAGAUUAAUAACAAAAACUGUAUUCAAUAUUGGAGAGACACAUUAACACAUUAAGCCAAAGAUUGCAUACAAGUGGUGAGUUUAUGGAGUUUUGGCCACAAAAGCCUACAAGAUACCGGUAAAAUACACAAACUCCUUGAGGUCUUGGUCAAUUUUUAUAUGAACAAAUAACCACAUAUGUUUAUUUAAUCAAAGUUUGAUUUUGUUUAUUCAAUUAAAAAUUGACCAAGACCUCAAGGAGUUUGUGUAUUUUAUCGUUAUCUUGUAGGUUUUUGUGGCCAAAACUCCAUAAAUUCACCACUUGUAUGAAAUCUUUGUCUUAAUGUGUCUCUCCAAUAUUGAAUGCAGUCUUUGUUAUUGA